This 434-nucleotide ribosomal RNA is filed under the name uncultured Lachnospiraceae bacterium. Its description in RNAcentral is "bacterial SSU rRNA". It matches the Rfam family "Bacterial small subunit ribosomal RNA", at positions 341 to 792 of the family's 1533-position model. The record is from RNAcentral. Lineage: Bacteria; Bacillati; Bacillota; Clostridia; Lachnospirales; Lachnospiraceae.
ACGGAAGGCAGCAGUGGGGAAUAUUGCACAAUGGGGGAAACCCUGAUGCAGCGACGCCGCGUGAGUGAAGAAGUAUUUCGGUAUGUAAAGCUCUAUCAGCAGGGAAGAUAAUGACGGUACCUGACUAAGAAGCACCGGCUAAAUACGUGCCAGCAGCCGCGGUAAUACGUAUGGUGCAAGCGUUAUCCGGAUUUACUGGGUGUAAAGGGAGCGUAGACGGCAAGGCAAGUCUGAAGUGAAAGCCUGGGGCUCAACCCCGGAACUGCUUUGGAAACUGUCUGGCUAGAGUGCAGGAGAGGUAAGUGGAAUUCCUAGUGUAGCGGUGAAAUGCGUAGAUAUUAGGAGGAACACCAGUGGCGAAGGCGGCUUACUGGACUGUAACUGACGUUGAGGCUCGAAAGCGUGGGGAGCAAACAGGAUUAGAUACCCUGGUA